This 117-nucleotide small nuclear RNA is filed under the name Cervus elaphus hippelaphus. Lineage: Eukaryota; Metazoa; Chordata; Mammalia; Artiodactyla; Cervidae. The record is from RNAcentral. RNAcentral also lists the same sequence under 1 other name.
GUUUUCUCAGGAUAGAAGCCCACAUAUACUAAAAUUGAAAUGAUACAGAGAGGAUUAACAUGGCCCCUGCACAGGGGUCUGACUUCUUAUAGCCAUGGUGUGGUGUUGCUAAUGUCU